Long non-coding RNA from Hyla sarda, 480 nucleotides. RefSeq lists it as uncharacterized. The record is from RefSeq and is a predicted model, not a curated record. NCBI's taxonomy places the organism in Eukaryota, Metazoa, Chordata, Amphibia, Anura, Hylidae. The transcript has 3 exons.
CCCCUGUAUACUGGACCUUGUGGAGCAGGCCUGCUGUGUGUAUACAGGCCCGGACACCACCAGUAUGGAAGACUUACCUGCCCAGUGCCCACUGCUCAUGCUGCCCUUUUAAAGUUGUGAAUGCAAAACACACUGAAGAGACUGCAGCCGGCGCGCACCUCCUUGUACAGCUUACGGUGACAUCAUCACAAGCAUGUGUGACAUCACAGGGUUCUAAACCAUCUUCAGUUGUUCUAACAGUGCCUGGUUCCCCUGCCCCCUGGUCCUCAUGUCAACAUGGAGUAAAUGCCCUCUGAUCAUCACUGGCAGAUAAUCGCUGUGGCCUGUGAUUGCCUGGGUUGACAUUUCCUGAAUGUCCUGAUGGGGAUCUGGAAGCAGUGAGCAGCAGGAGCCAGGGCAUCAGCAGAAUGGAUGGAAGCAGAGGAUGGGCCGGUUGACCAUUCUUUAUUAUUUUUUUAAACCCUGUGACCUUUUUUAAGA